Molecule: unclassified non-coding RNA, 4311 nt
Filed under: Helicoverpa zea (corn earworm)
Lineage: Eukaryota; Metazoa; Arthropoda; Insecta; Lepidoptera; Noctuidae
Description: aryl hydrocarbon receptor nuclear translocator homolog, transcript variant X8
Source: RNAcentral
CAUGUGACGUUUUUGUGUUGGUUGGAUCUGGAAUUGUUGCAAAUGGAAAAUGGCGUUUGUGUUGUAUUGAAGAGCUGUAAACAUACGUACUGCUUUGUGUAUAAAUGAACUUAACUGUUGUGGAUUGAAAAGUUUUUAUUUUUCAUUUGUUAGUGAUAUUAUAACGUGGACUAAUGAGUUUACUGACCGAUGUCUGCCGUGGCUCCCACUAUCCCCGGGGCUGACCCAGCAAAGGAUAUACAAAAACGCCGUGCUGGCAGUGUUGGGUCAGAUGAAGACGACGCAAGUGGAGGGAAAUAUACAAGGAUGGAGGAGGAUAACAUUCAGGAUAAGGAAAGAUUUGCAAGUCGCGAGAACCACUGCGAAAUUGAACGUCGCCGAAGAAACAAGAUGACGGCGUACAUCACGGAACUAUCUGAUAUGGUUCCAACAUGCUCGGCCCUCGCGCGGAAACCAGACAAACUCACGAUACUGCGUAUGGCAGUAGCGCACAUGAAAGCCUUAAGAGGUACUGGUAAUACUUCAACAGACGGCACGUACAAACCAUCCUUCCUAACUGAUCAGGAAUUAAAACAUUUAAUCCUUGAAGCGGCUGAUGGGUUUUUAUUUGUUGUCAGCUGCGAUACUGGACGUAUUAUCUAUGUCAGUGACAGUAUAGCACCAGUUUUGAACUACUCGCAGGGUGAAUGGUACUCAUCAUGCUUAUAUGAUCAAGUACAUCCAGAUGAUGUGGAAAAAGUUAGAGAACAAUUAAGCACACAAGAACCUCAAAACACAGGUCGUAUCUUGGAUCUUAAAACAGGGACAGUAAAGAAAGAAGGUCACCAAUCAUCCAUGCGUCAAGUCAUGGGCUCCCGGCGUGGUUUCAUAUGUCGAAUGCGCGUCGGUGGAUCUGCAGAGGGUGCACAUCUCGGAAGACUGCGUGCAAGAAACUCAUUAGGCCCUUCGCAUGAUGGCCAUAAUUACGCCGUUGUACAUUGCACCGGAUAUAUUAAAAAUUGGCCUCCUACAGAUCUGUUUCCAGGUAUGCAGAUGGAUCGUCCUAUUCAGGAAGAGCUUGACACAUCCCAUUGUUGCCUAGUUGCUAUCGGAAGACUUCAGGUCACAUCAACGCCUAACUCCUCUGAGAACAGUUUAUGUAGCGGCGGAGUGGAGUUUGUGUCGCGGCAUUCGGUGGACGGUCGAUUCACUUUCGCCGAUCAACGCGCCACACAGGUGGUCGGGUACGCACCGGCCGAUCUGUUGGGCAAACUUUGUUACGAGUUCUAUCAUCCAGAGGACCAACAGCACAUGAGAGAUAACUUUGACCAAGUAUUGAAAUUGAAAGGCCAAAUUAUUUCACUCAUGUACCGAUUUCGCACCAAGAGCAGAGAGUGGGUUUGGUUAAGAACUUCAGCGUUCGCAUUUUUAAACCCUUACAAUGAUGACGUAGAGUACAUCGUCUGCACCAACACUUUAGCGAAUCGGUCGUUAGGCAGUACAACAGGCGAAGCUGCCCCGGAAGAGAAUUACGAUUACCACUUACGCCACAGAGACGUGUAUCAAGCCCAAGCACCUAAUCUGCACCAACAGCACCAUGCGCCACCAGGUCCCGUGGCUCCAAUAGCGUUUGGUUUGCCAGUGAGCGGCGGCGGCGGCAGCGCGCGGUCGCCGGGCGAGGCGGGCGCGGCGGCGGCGCCGGCCUACGCGCCGCACUACGCGCCCGAGUACUCGCCGCACCGCCCCGCCAACACUCCGCCGCACACCACCUGGACCACGCUGCGCACCAGCGGCGGCGGCGGCGCGGGCGAGAGCUACGCGUACAGCGGCGAGGCGGCGGGAGCGGCGGCCGCGGACGCGUCCCCCGCGCGCUCGCCGCCCGCGCCCGCCUACCUGCCACCAGCCGCGCACUACCACCACAACCACCACCCGCACCCCUCGCACGGCAUGUGGUCGUGGCAGACGGGCGCAGGCGCGGCGGCGGGCGCGGCCGGCGCCGAGGGAGCGCACGCGCCGCACGAGCUCUCCGACAUGCUGCAGAUAUUGGACCAGAGCGGAACUGCUACCUUCGAAGACCUUAACAUUAAUAUGUUCAACUCGAACUUUGAGUAAUCUAACUCAGAAUGUAUGUACCUCAUUUGAUUCGUGAAAUUUUGAAAGAGAAAAUAUUAUUGCGCAACAUAAAGUACAUAUACAUGCAAUGGCAUUCAAAUGCGUUAUGUUACAUUUCCCGAAUUGCAAGAAAGUAAGACAAGCGCGUCAGCCUAUUAAAUCUCAAUAUUUCGGUUGUAGAGUCAUAGAUUCAGAAUAGCUGUCUAUACAUACGUAGUUAGGUAGGGUAAGAACUUAUUUUCUCAGAUAUUCGUACUACAAAGUAUAGUACCUACCUAUUAUAAAUUCGUGACAUAAUUUUGAUACAAUAAAAUAAUAAUUCGAAGCCACUUCAUUUAAAUGAAGUUCGUUAACAAUACUGUAAGGACGAAUCAGUUCUUAAAUAAGCGGUGCCUACAUAGAACAUAGACUCCCAGGUAUAUACUAUUAUUAGGGCUUAACACGAGUGUCGUGUUCGGUAUAAAAACCUAGCGUGUCAAAAUCUUGUGGGUAUCACAAUUGAAGUAAAAUCAAUUGCAAAUCAGUCUGUGUACCCCUCUGCGUGGUGAUGAUUAGAUUACACCUAGAGAUAUCACUGUUAUCUAUCCAGGUAUAUUCUUGCACAAAUUGUUACAAAAAUGGAAGGGUCCAUUCUUACGAAAUCCUUUCGCAUACUCUUAAAUCAUUGACGUGCAAAAAUAAUGAAAGGGUUAAUUUUCAUAAACGGGCGUUUUCGUAGUGCUCAACAUAACGCGCAAAGCUACAUAUUAAGUAUGUGUGCCUUUAACGAGCCGGAGUGGCGUGACGUGCAAUCAUUGCGAUAAAACGUUAAAUAUCUUAAUUGGCAGGUAGAGUGGAUUCUUGGUUUCGUGAGGAGACAACGCCACUUCUGACCGACACAGGUGUUUGGAACCACUUAAUUAGUUUUGUAACUUGUAGUAUUAUGAGAUAAUUCAUUAUUUUUAAUUUAGUUUAAUGAUGUUUUUCUUAUCUGGUUUCUACUGACACUUAAUCGAAAUAUUAAAUCAGUAGCUGCUGUAAAGUUAAUUCUGCAUAGCCAUUAGCUUAUUUCAAAUAUUUAGCUAGGCUAUAAUUUAAUAGAAAAAAAUACUGUGUAAAUAGUAUUCUUUGGCAGCUACCGAGUUUGUUUGAACAUAGUGUUGUUAAAUGUUUUGUUAAUUCAUAUCUCUCUAUUCAGAAUUAGCUUUACUGGUACUUGAGACUUAUAGUGCAACCACGUUUACUACCAUAUUCAAAAUCGUGUCAACAAUUUCCGUUCAAAUGGUGCAUCUAGCAAAAUUAAGUUAAUAUACCCAUUUUAUAUCUUGACGUUAUUUUUAAGUUAUGAUAAGACUCAUUUGGGAAUAUAGCAUCGUAAUUAAUUAUUAUUUUUGUAGAAAAUACUGUAAUUAUGUGUUUUCGGUUGUAAGCUCCGUAAUACCAUUCCACUAUACUGUCACUAAACUUAAGGAAUCGUAUUGAUUGUUAGUGCAGAUAGCAGAAUAUACACAUAAAAUGAUAAGAUGUGAAAUACUCAAUGUAAAUGAAAUCUUUAUUUACAUUCUCAAUUAAAAAUUCGGUAAAGUUUUACGCUACGAAACCAAAGACGUGAAUGCAUUGUGAUCAUUUUGGUCGAAAUGGUUUUGCUAGUUCUAUCAUGAAGCAGUUACGGCGUUUUGUAUUUUACAAAUUUAAGGCCAGAAAUUACCAGCAGGCAGGUCCCUGGCCACGCUGUGUAGGCUAUAUAUUCAUAUAAAAUGUAUCAGAAUGUGUAAAGCAAUAAUUGUGCGAUAAAUGUUCUCGUUCGUGACAACACCUGAUUGAAGAUCCAGCUAUCAGCCCUGCUCUCUGUUAAUGAUGCCUAAUUCAUGAUUCCUGAGGUUGUUACACAACUUCUUUAAAUUAUCGAAAUUCUUAAUCAUGUAUGUUCUAUAAUUUCAUUGAUAUAUUGAAAGUAUCACUAUAAUUAAAGUGACUGUACCUGAAAACAAUAACAUUCACCGGUGUUCAUUACAUUUAAAUUCAUACAAUUAUUGCUUUAAAAUUAUCCGAAUAUCAAAAAUCUUUUUAUUAUAUUAUACCUAAUUUAAGAUAUUAAUGGAUUAUAUUUUUAUGUAAGUAAUGCAUUUACGAGUUCAUAUUUUCUUCGUAAACAAUUUUAUUACUUUUAAUUGGUUGUAUAGGUAUACUUGAAUUUUGUAAAAUGAAUUUUUCAUUAAAUACUAACGAUAUGGACAUUAA